ACAGCCUUAUAGAAAUGGUCUGAUAUGACAGGCUGACUUGCAGUGCGUGCCCGCAUGCAUCUUGGCCUCUCUGUGGAAUUCCUUCCACCCGGCGGAGGCCAGACCUCCACUGUCUUAUGAUCUAUGCAGUCAAGUUCAGACAACAGGAUGUGAUGUGGAAAUUCGUCCCAGGUGAUAAAGAAGCUGGAAAUUCAGUCAACCUACCUGUUUUUCUGCGGAGCAAACCGGAUCUGCGCCUGCAGAUGCUGAGGUCCUGGGUCUGGCUAAGGGCUGAGGAGCCUGGGGUGAAGGAUUUAACUUCAACGUGUUGACUUCUGGAUGGCCAACCAGGUUUUCCCCUAGAAUACCCAGUGUGGCUUCCAUUCCUUCUUGCCUCAUUAAGAGGUGGUCACAGCAUCUCAGCGCAUCCUUGUUCUCGAGUCCCGCUUGGUGGGUUCCGGGUGCUGAACUUGUGCCUUCGGGCCUGGCAAGUGAGGAUGGAGGCUCCAUGACUCAAGAAGCAAAACAAAAAGCAAAUAAAACGUCCAAGGCACAGGAAGUUCCUGAAACUUACAAGGUUCACAACAAUUACUGAUGGAGAGACUCUUGUAGUGUGGCCUGCAAGUUGCUAGGGAGCUUAGCCUAUGCAGUUUUUCUGAGUCAUUGCCCCUGCUGGGGUGGGAUGUUUUAAAGAAGCAUGUGCCUUGGAGUCAUCAAUCCUCU
Molecule: long non-coding RNA, 702 nt
Organism: Mesocricetus auratus (golden hamster)
Lineage: Eukaryota; Metazoa; Chordata; Mammalia; Rodentia; Cricetidae
Exons: 4
Source: RefSeq, a predicted model, not a curated record